UUAAGUUCAGCGGGUAUUCCUACCUGAUCCGAGGUCAACCUUGUGUAAAAAUAGUGGUUUUACGGCAGGAAACCCGCAAAGCCCCAGUGCGAGAUGUAUUACUACGCAAAGGAGGCUCUAACGAGUCCGCCACUGAUUUCAGGGCCUACAAAAGUAGGGCCCCAACACCAAGCAGUGCUUGAGGGUUGAUAAUGACGCUC
This 200-nucleotide unclassified non-coding RNA is filed under the name Reticulascus sp. RNAcentral's name for it is "partial internal transcribed spacer 2". Lineage: Eukaryota; Fungi; Ascomycota; Sordariomycetes; Glomerellales; Reticulascaceae. The record is from RNAcentral.